GCUUUCAACAUCCCCGUCCAAUUCGCUCACCGCGAUGUUUGGACUGAAGGC
Molecule: small RNA, 51 nt
Filed under: unclassified sequences
Description: NAD+-I sequence
Rfam family: nadA riboswitch
Source: Rfam by way of RNAcentral